RNAcentral lists this long non-coding RNA (301 nucleotides) under Lathyrus oleraceus (garden pea). RNAcentral's name for it is "Pisum sativum (pea) long non-coding RNA (PSAT_LNC000251)". The record is from RNAcentral. Lineage: Eukaryota; Viridiplantae; Streptophyta; Magnoliopsida; Fabales; Fabaceae.
AUUAAUAAUCUUAAGAUACAUAUCACAGAUUUUAUUAAACUUAAUUACUACUUCACACAUCGACAAAUUUAUGUAUGCACUUCGGAACUAAAGGAAAUUUACAGCUUGAUUUAGAACAUUCUUUAUCAUCCGUGCACACAAGCAUAUCUGUUAUGUUAAAAAAAGGAAUGUUAAUAAUGAAGAAAAUAUUAAAGAAAAAAGACAGCAAAUAAACUUACAUAGGGCUUCUUCGGUUACAAUAGUAAAUGUCAAAGAAAAAAAAUAAUAAUGUAAACAAACUUAAGAAUUUGAGUCAUAUUUU